Molecule: non-coding RNA, 29 nt
Filed under: Cricetulus griseus (Chinese hamster)
Lineage: Eukaryota; Metazoa; Chordata; Mammalia; Rodentia; Cricetidae
Source: RNAcentral
AGUUAGAAUAUUUAAACACAGGAGGAUAG